This 292-nucleotide long non-coding RNA is filed under the name Bos taurus (domestic cattle). Its description in RNAcentral is "long non-coding RNA NONBTAT025331". The record is from RNAcentral. Lineage: Eukaryota; Metazoa; Chordata; Mammalia; Artiodactyla; Bovidae.
AAAAUGCUCUCUUUUUAAUUACUAAAUUAAGAAAGUUAAACAAUUUAAAAAUGUAAACUCACAAAGAAAUAACAAAAAAGGAAUUAAGACUUCAGAGUUGCUACUCAGUAUUAAAAACUCAAAUAGAAAUAGGGUUUUUGAUUUGUUGUUGUUAAACAUUUGUAAUUCAAGGUUGGUACAAACAGCAACUAAAAAUGUAAUAAAUGUACAACCCCUCCCUCACCUUCCCGUAAGGUUUAGUUGUAUGAGAAAAUUUAGCAUGUUGCCAUGACUACAAUGCUAUGGAUUUUAG